CAGAACAAUAGUAGACAAAAGGUUUCUGAAGUGUGUAAUUAAAAUGUAAACAUCUAAUAUUUUUCAUACAGACUGUGAUUGACAUUGACCACAGUAUAACAGCAAACGCAUAUCUCCACCAUGUUGACAUAAUGCAAAAAAAACAAAACAAGAUAGCGGAAACCACAACCAUGUCCAAAGCUCUAGCAAUCCAUUUCAUCUGUUGUGCAGCAUUCAUGUACUACUGUAGCCCUCUUCAGAUUCCCCACACCCCCUCUCCCUCCAAUCCCUCGCUCCCUCCUCUUUUCCCUGAACACAAAGCCAAGACUCAGAAGGGAAAGGAACAGAUUAGCCUCCCCCUGCCUCUCGCUCACACCGCUCACACCCGUGGAGUGUUCUUUCCAGGGUGGCUCGCUGAGGGAUGAGGUACGGAGAGCGUGGUAGCAGAAAAAAACCCUCUGGUGCAACGUCAGCAGAGGCGUGCGAUGCAUUGUCAAAUGGCGUGUCUAUUGCCGACUCUCUCACACAAGCUGUGUGUGAAGCCUGCGUAGUCUUGUUGCAGGAGGGGGUGAUGCAUGACAGUAUUAGACAAAUGUAAAGAUGGUUGUGCAGUGUGACCUAUUGUUUGUCUCUACUCUCUGCUGGGCUGCAGUGGCAAAUAAUGUGCUACCAUGACACAUCCAUUUGGAUUUCAUUCAUUUAUGUUAGAACAUUGAUUUUCCUCUCUUUUCUCUCUGUUACUCACUAUCCCUCUCUCUAUAUCUCACACUUGCUAUCCCUCGUUUUCUAUAGCUCUUUCUCUAUCCUUCUCUCACUCUUUCUGUCUGUCUCUAUCCCACUGUCGCUGGUUCUAUCUGUCCGUCUCUAUCCCACUGUCACUGGUCCUAUCUGUCUGUCUCUAUCCCACUGUCACUGGUUCUAUCUGUCUGUCUCUAUCCCACUGUCACUUGUUCUGUCUGUCCGUCUCUAUCCCACUGUCACUGGUUCUAUCUGUCUGUCUCUAUCCCACUGUCACUGGUUCUAUCCGUCUGUCUCUAUCCCACUGUCCCUGGUCCUAUCUGUCUGUCUCUAUCCCACUGUCACUUGUUCUGUCUGUCCGUCUCUAUCCCACUUUAGCUGGUUCUAUCCAUCUGUUACUGGUUAUUUCUGUCUGUCUCUAUCCCACUGUCGCUGGUUCUGGGUGUCCGUAUCUAUCCCACAGUCGCUGGUUCUAUCUGUCUGUCUCUAUCCCACUUUAGCUCGUUCUGUCUGUCUGUCUGUCUCUAUUCUACUGUCGCUUGAUCUAUCUGUCUGUCUCAAUCCCACUGUCGCUGGUUAUUUCUGUCUGUCUCUAUCCCACUGUAGCUCCUUCUAUCUGUCUGUCUCUAUCCCACUUUAGCUUGUUCUGUCUGUCUGUCU
RNAcentral lists this long non-coding RNA (1377 nucleotides) under Salmo salar (Atlantic salmon). RNAcentral describes it as "lncRNA (ENSSSAG00000113027.1)". Lineage: Eukaryota; Metazoa; Chordata; Actinopteri; Salmoniformes; Salmonidae. The record is from RNAcentral.